GUGCUCACUUCAGUAACACAUAUGCUAAAAUUGGAACAAUACGGAGAAGAUUAGUGUGGCUCCUGUGCAAGGAUGACAUGCAAAUUCUUGAAGUGUUCCAUACUACU
Nyctereutes procyonoides (raccoon dog) is the source of this 107-nucleotide small nuclear RNA. The record is from RefSeq and is a predicted model, not a curated record. Lineage: Eukaryota; Metazoa; Chordata; Mammalia; Carnivora; Canidae.